This is a long non-coding RNA of Capsicum annuum, 1406 nucleotides long. RefSeq lists it as uncharacterized. The record is from RefSeq and is a predicted model, not a curated record. The transcript has 2 exons. Lineage: Eukaryota; Viridiplantae; Streptophyta; Magnoliopsida; Solanales; Solanaceae.
AUUCUUUAAAAAUUAAGUAACUGUUUAUCUAUAAUUUGAAACAUAAAAUCUCAUAUUAGAUGAAAUUUUUGGACAAGUCUGAGGGCUCAUGUAUACAUGAAAAUCUAAACACAUUACACAUAAAGUAAUUCAGCUAAUUGGUGGUUUGUCCCACAUCGAUAACAGUAGAUGGAGAACAGGGAAACGAGCCCUAUAAUAUGAAAAGCAGAGGGUGAGGCAAAGCUAUCUUUGCGGUUGGUGCAAUGACGCAGCUAGCGAGGUUCUAAUCGAGGUGCGUCUAUUGCCUAUUUGAAAUCUAUUUCCAAACCCCCUCUUCGACUGGGUUCUGCCUAGGCCGUCGAGAAUCUUAGUCUAAAUCUUUCCUUGUUCCUUUGGUACUAAGUUUGCCUCUUGGAAAUUAAUUUCCUAACAAGAGAUCCGACAGAGGCAUAUAACUCUGACUGUGUAUUUGCUUUGGUUCUUGAAAUGAAGUGGCAAAUUACUCAUCCUCUUGGAAAUUAAUUUCGUAAGACGAGAUAUGUGGAUAUGGCAAAGGCAUUGCUGUUUUGAUUAGUGGAGAUCGAACAUAGGGAAGCUUGGCACGGUGUGGUUUGUGCUUUUGUAUUAAACUUCAUGGGAAGUGCAUAGUACAUUGAAGUCUGAUGAAGUUAUCACACAAUCCUAGGUGACUCCUAGAAAUAGCAGUAGUGGCUCGAGGAGUUAAUGCCCGGACGUUCUACAACAUAAGAAUCUUCAAGCAGUUCUAUGUGACCAAACUUGUCGAAAUUUAAGCUUCAAGUGAGGCUCUGAGCUGCUUCUACAGUACAUGGUUUCAGAUUGCCCAGAUCUCUAUGCAUAAAAAGCUCAUAUGCCAGGAUAAACAGGCCAAGAAGGGGUAUAGUUUUUCUACCCAAAUCCAAGUUGAGAUGACUGAUUGUGUCGGCAAGUUGAUUUGUGAGUGGAUUAAAUUUGCAAUUGGAGAGUUAUUCUCUUUUUGUUGUAAAGGGUUCAUUGCAUAGAUUAUGUUUAUGCACUAUUUUAUCAUUACCCGAUAUUGUCGAAAUUCUCAGGCUAGUACUCAACUUCCAUUUAAUCGCCAUAAAGGAAAGACCAAAAAGGUUUUGUCGAGGACAUCAAAUGAUCAUGGGAUUUAGUUAUAAAAAUCACAAACUGAAUUAGGGAAAAAUUUUCUUCUGAUGUCUUGAUCCAUGUGUACAAAGAUGUGUAUAUAUACAAGUAUUUCUUGCAAAAUAAGAAAAUAAUACUGUACACUUGUCUAAUUCCUAUUUGUCUAAAUACAUAGCUGUUAUAACUAAACUAUAUUCUUUGUACAGAAUUAUCUAGAAUAUGAACAGCUGUCCUUGUAUGCAUCUGACGGUCCAUAUUUAGUCCAUAUGUUAUAUUUGUGUGCUUCUGAUCUUGCCACA